This 510-nucleotide ribosomal RNA is filed under the name uncultured bacterium. RNAcentral describes it as "bacterial SSU rRNA". It matches the Rfam family "Bacterial small subunit ribosomal RNA", at positions 17 to 518 of the family's 1533-position model. The record is from RNAcentral.
UUAUGGCUCAGGAUGAACGCUAGCUACAGGCUUAACACAUGCAAGUCGAGGGGCAGCAUGUGGUGCUGCAACCAAUGAUGGCGACCGGCGCACGGGUGAGUAACGCGUAUCCAACCUUCCCUAUAGUAGAGGAUAGCCCGGCGAAAGUCGGAUUAAUACUCUAUGUUUUCCAAUGCAGACAUCUAAAAUGGAACAAAGGUUUACCGCUAUAGGAUGGGGAUGCGUCUGAUUAGAUGGUAGGCGGGGUAAUGGCCCACCUAGUCGACGAUCAGUAGGGGUUCUGAGAGGAAGGUCCCCCACAUUGGAACUGAGACACGGUCCAAACUCCUACGGGAGGCAGCAGUGAGGAAUAUUGGUCAAUGGGCGAGAGCCUGAACCAGCCAAGUAGCGUGCCAGGAUGACGGCCCUAUGGGUUGUAAACUGCUUUUAUACAGGGAUAAAGUGACGUACGUGUACGUUAUUGUAGGUACUGUAUGAAUAAGGACCGGCUAAUUCCGUGCCAGCCGCAGC